This 1096-nucleotide long non-coding RNA is filed under the name Heterocephalus glaber (naked mole-rat). RNAcentral's name for it is "lncRNA (ENSHGLG00100035899.1)". Lineage: Eukaryota; Metazoa; Chordata; Mammalia; Rodentia; Bathyergidae. The record is from RNAcentral.
CCUUAGGGCUUGCCUUCAGGUUGGUCUGUCCUUCGUGUCUGAGUGUCUGACAGAUUUCUGGAGGAGCUUGGGGAAGGAUACAAAGAGAAGAUGGGACAAUCUGGACACAGCCACUUGCAUUGUUUAUCAUCUAUAAUUGCCCAUAAUCUACAUGUGUGACCUUAGUAUGGUGCAGGAAGGACAUCACUGAAUGUAGCUAAGGAAACCUUUGACAGCAUCCGAGGGCAAAUAAUCGCAGCCUGUAGAGGAAACGGUCUGAGCACUGCCCGUAGUACAGCAGUCCUUUGUCUCCUGGGGAUGAAGAAACCCUGGAGGACAGAGAUUGGGGAGGACCUGGCAUGGUGACGGUGCCCACGCUGGUUAGGUCACCUGAUGUCCUUGCACAGAUCCAAAGUCGGAUGUUUUCUGGUUUGAGGGUCACUCCACUGAUACAGGGAAUGAGGUCAUGGUCUGCAGGCUCCCCAGGCACUGAGUGGACUUGGAACACAGCGCUGUACUUUGGAGUAAAGCUGGUGUGGGAACCUCGGCCCUGAGUGAAGGAGAGGAUCUCUUGCUUCCAAGCAGGCCCUGGUUAAGGAAUUUGUUUCUUGGUUGAGUAACAUUUUUGAUGAAAUAAGCAACAAAACGCAGGGCAUCAGAAUGACCGCUGCAGUAAUGAAACAAUUGAGAUGCCCACCAAAGACAGCUGGAAAUCGGACAACGAAGAUGGAGAAGACUUAACAGUUUUAAUAAACUGGAACCAAGUGACAACACGCGUAGUUCAGUUUUGCCGUGCUCUGGCCUGAGUUUGAAGCUGGAAUACUUGUAGCAGUUUGAGUAAGGAGUGUCUAGGAGUGGCUCUCUGAGUUUUUCCUGCUUGAAGUAGAAGAUUAGUAUUGUUUACAAUAUUCCACAAUUUGGGGCCGUUAUUUCAAGAAUUUUUCUGUGCCUGCUCUGCUCUCUGGAUUCCCCUCUUGUACAGUGUGCUGCUGUCUGAGAUCUUACCAUUGGAUUCUCUUCAUUUUUCUGCAUUCCUCAGACUUGGUAAUCUCUUCAAAUUCACCGAUUCUUCUUCCUGCUUAAAGCUGUUGUUGCACUGCUCUAGUAAAUUUCUCAC